GCCAGUGUCCGGUGUUCUGACAAAACGUCCUACCUAUUAAGCUGUCCUACUUGUUGUUACUGCGCAUGCGCACAAUUCAAAACGGCCAUAUUUCCGGUUUAAAUAGUACACGCCUAUUAUUUCAUCCUACCCUGAUCUUGUGCCGAUCUCGUUGCUUCGAAAAAAGGUAUGUAUUAAAAGUUUUACUUCUUUAUUACAGAUGAUAAUUGCUUACCUUAAGCUGCUCAAUCGAAGUCAUAUUCCAAGUGUUUAUUUGGUGCUUUUAAAAUUUAUUUUAGUCCUCCUGCAGUUACUGGACACCACUCGCCGUUGUUAUGUUGAAUAAACGCUCCGUUGUUAUGUUGAAGAAAGUACUUUUGCACCACAUACUUGUUAAUUGCGUGAUAACGUUGUGUAGUCGUUUUAUUUACUGUAUGGAUUCCGAAGCCAUGUUGAAAUUGUCCGAUUUUCUCCUUAGUUAUGGAGAACAAAUACGAGGAACUGCUCAUGUUUCUGUCUGUUGGGUCCUACCCAUCUGAAUACGAUAAGUCCCAGAGGCAAACCCUUAGGAGAUACGCCGCAAAAUUCAGGCUGAAGGGCGGAGUGCUCUUGUUUGGAAACAGGAGAGUGAUAAAAACAAAAGAAGAAGCCAUGGGACUAUUUCAAGUCCCAUCGGUGGACACACUGGUGUACUCAAGACUCGAACUGCAAUGUGUUCCAGAUUUUACUGGUAUGGAAUGUCGGUUGACAUUGUUAAUUGGGAAGUUGUCAUUUAUAUUGCAUGUGCAAAAUAUAAAGAGAGCAACCAAGAAUAUAAAUGCAAAAAAUGUAAGGAAAACACGUAACAACUUCAAAUAAAAACAGCUGUCUUUUCCCCUCCAUGUCUCUUUGUAUUCUUUGUCAACAUUAGAUGAUUGUGUGCUGGAGGCAUGUUUUGAUAGUGUGAUUUGGCCACCUGAACGUCCUACCUAAAUAAAUCCAAGCAGGAAGCAUGUUCUGAACGUCCUAGCGAAAUAAAUCCAAGUUUUUAAGUGUGAUUUGGCCAUCUGAACGUCCUACCUAUAGAUAUGUACGAUGGAGCCAUUAACCACGUAAGGUAGCAUAUUCUGAUAAGGUAGCACGGAUUGAUAGACAAGACCAUAAAUUUACGCUACGGUAGCGCUACAGUAGGACGUUUUGUCAGAACACCGGCAGCCUCGCCUCUGUCAGUGCGCCCCAGGGUGGCUGUGG
This is a long non-coding RNA of Oreochromis aureus, 1209 nucleotides long. Lineage: Eukaryota; Metazoa; Chordata; Actinopteri; Cichliformes; Cichlidae. The record is from Ensembl.